Molecule: long non-coding RNA, 2077 nt
Filed under: Gallus gallus (chicken)
Lineage: Eukaryota; Metazoa; Chordata; Aves; Galliformes; Phasianidae
Description: lncRNA (ENSGALG00010012452.1)
Source: RNAcentral
CAUGCUUCAAUAGCAUCAAGAUCAUGUGAAAGAUGAGCCGCGAGUCUGAGGAUGUAUUGUGAGAAACCCGUGAAAUCUGUUCUUAUUACUCCAUUUACUCCAUUGAUUCAAAUGGCAGCACCUGCGGAAGCUUGCUAGUGAGGGGCCUUGCAGAUGUCCACUCUGAUCAUGAAGUUGAUAUUUCUACCUGCUCGAGCACUGAUGUUUUUCUGCAGAGUUUUCAGCAAGGACAAUUGCUGGAGGGCCCUGACAGCAGCAUCCUCAGGCAAGCAGCUCUUCUGUGCACCUGAAACAUCCUACACGAGGGACAUUUGGGGUUGCCCCUUCCCCCGCAGAUCAAAUCAUGCUGGUGAAUUUCCAGCCACACAAGGACAAGAAAGAUUAUUUUGUGUUGUGGAAGAAAAACAGAAGUAAAAGGCUAAGUUGACUUAGACUCAAAGAACUGAAAAGAAAGCAGAUCCUGUACACCGGAGACUUAGAUUGUCCUAAAAAGUGGAUAAAUGGGGUCCAGUAAGUGAGUCCUUUUUUUUUUUUUUUUUUUUUUUUUUUAAUGUUUCCUGAAGAUACCUUCAGGGGAAGGUGUAAUUUCCCUCUUAUCAUGGAGUCAAGUCUCGUUGAAGUAGGUGAGAAAAUUUGCUGAAUCACACCCAGAGGGUAUCAAUGCCACAGUUUGACUGAAAAACUGGCCUUAGAAGAUGAGAAGACUAGUGCCUUUCUGUGAAGAAUGGCUCUGUUCUGAUUCAUGGGUAAUGACCAAGCCAUGAGCAGCUGAGACACAGCAGACCCGUAUGGCAGAUUCUCUGAACUUUACCUGAGGGCUGAAGUCAGAAGAAAUGCCCUAAGGCAUUCAUUGGCAAAAAAGUUGAAGAACAGCCUUCUGUGAUGAAUAAAUGUGAAUGUUCGAGAAUUUUACUAUUUUUUUUCUUGCUUCAUUAUUAUUUUGAUGCUUCUUUUUUUCUUGUGAUCGCUUCAAGGAGAGUUCUUUCCUAUCAGAAGUUCACCAGAGAUGCUCUGACAUCACUUCCCAUUUCGCUCUGGAAUCUAAUAAUGAGCAACAGAGUUCAAUCAUGGAUAAGUUAAUAAUCACAGGAGUGGAGAUGUCCAACAGAAAUGAGCUCCACAGGUCCAGCUGUCAACAGGAAACAGCUGUUUCACAUGUGUUCCCACAGUGAUAAUUCUGAGGUACAAACAGGCCUGUCAGUCUUGAAACUGUUUUCAUGGCUUUAUGUGUUGUAAAUGUGCAGUAGACUGUGGGUGUACAUGUGGGCAACACAGAAACUAGUAGAACAGAGGUCAGAACAGGUGGUAUGAUACACUCAGACAUGAACUGUCCAGUAGAAGUAGGGCCCACACAAGUCAGCAGUGCCUCAAGAAAAUGGUGUAGGCCUAUUUGAGAUACGGCUGCAAUAUCAGACUGCCCCAAAUAUGCAGUAACCUUCUAUCACCACUGCUAGACCUACUGUCUAGAUCAAUGAUGUACAGUGGAAAAUAGGUCAUCUAAAUUUCUCUCACAUGUCUAAAUUAUCCUUGUUGUGGAGCUUACCAUAUUAUAUAGCUGGUGAGAUAUUUGGCCCUGAAUGCAAUUUAUUUCCUUGCUUGCUUGCUACCUUGUGAUAUUACUCCCACAUUUUUCCAGUAUGUCAGAACUCUGUGAUACCUCUCCUUGCUCCUAGCUUUUAUAUAACAUUAUUUUGUGUAGUUCAUCCAAUCCACCUAACAAAGUAUGUAACCUUUUUACUUUGAUAAGCACCAUGUGAGUGAUACAAAAACCCAGUCCUGUUAUUUCACUCGUGUUUUAAAGGAGAUUUAUUGUCUGUUGGCAUAAAUAGCUGUUCUUGCCCUUGAUUUGUUGCCUUGUGUUUAAAAUGGGGAUAAGAUAGGUUAAGAUUCUUCUUUACUUCACAGCAGUUUUUCAAGGUUAAUGUAAUUAAUAUGUCCUAACUAUUGUCUGGAAGGUGUGAAGAAAAUGGCAGGGUCUUAUCACUACUGCAAGUGAAAUGUCUGCUGCCUAAUAAAUAUCUACAACAGCACAACUGGAGCCAUCAGAGGAAAUUUUUCUACUGACUUGAAUUCAGCC